This 75-nucleotide transfer RNA is filed under the name Alphaproteobacteria bacterium. RNAcentral's name for it is "tRNA-Gln". It matches the Rfam family "tRNA". Rfam says of the family: Transfer RNA (tRNA) molecules are approximately 80 nucleotides in length. Their secondary structure includes four short double-helical elements and three loops (D, anti-codon, and T loops). The record is from RNAcentral. Lineage: Bacteria; Pseudomonadati; Pseudomonadota; Alphaproteobacteria.
UGGGGCGUAGCCAAGCGGUUAAGGCAGCGGGUUUUGAUCCCGCGAUCCCUGGUUCGAAUCCAGGCGCCCCAGCCA